UUACAGGUGUCAGCGUAGAAUCCUUCCUUCAUUGUUUCUAAUAUGGACCAUUAACCAGCACGGGGCAGUGGAGAGAGAUCUCAUACACAGUUAUUCAAAAACCUUAACGAAUGCAUGAGGACAAAGAUCUUCUUUGUGUUAGUGAAAUAAGAACUUAGCGGACUCGGAGUAAACAAAUACAGGAACAAUGCCCAUGUGUUCCCACGAACCACGGGGGCUCUUGAAGAGUCAAAGAGACGGCUCCCCCACUCAGCGUCUCAGCACCCUCUCCGUUCCAUCCGACCAGUUCACCGAACUUCUCCCAUCAAUCCACCUAACCAGUCUUUCCUCCCUUUCUAUCAACCCUCACUCGUCCUUCCCAUACCCCCUCAUCCCUCAUCCCUCGACCCCUUCCCCUCAUCCCUCGACCCUUACCCCUUCAUCCCUUCAUCCCUUCUACCCGUUAACCAUUUUUCCUCCCACAGCAUUCCACAUUCAUUCAUAAACGUGUAAUAAACUUGUCUUAAUCCAUA
This is a long non-coding RNA of Dicentrarchus labrax (European seabass), 512 nucleotides long. RefSeq lists it as uncharacterized. The transcript has 2 exons. The record is from RefSeq and is a predicted model, not a curated record. NCBI's taxonomy places the organism in Eukaryota, Metazoa, Chordata, Actinopteri, Moronidae.